RNAcentral lists this non-coding RNA (29 nucleotides) under Mus musculus (house mouse). Lineage: Eukaryota; Metazoa; Chordata; Mammalia; Rodentia; Muridae. The record is from RNAcentral.
UGCUUGACAUCUCACUUCGACACAGCACC